GACGAACGCUGGCGGCGUGCCUAAUACAUGCAAGUAGAACGCACAGUUUAUACCGUAGCUUGCUACACCAUAGACUGUGAGUUGCGAACGGGUGAGUAACGCGUAGGUAACCUGUCUGGUAGCGGGGGAUAACUAUUGGAAACGAUAGCUAAUACCGCAUAAUAUUAAUUAUUGCAUGAUAAUUAAUUGAAAGGUGCAAUUGCACCACUACCAGAUGGACCUGCGUUGGAUUAGCUAGUAGGUGAGGUAACGGCUCACCUAGGCGACGAUACAGAGCCGACCUGGGAGGGUGGUCGGCCACACUGGGACUGUGACACGGCCCAGACUCCUACGGGGGGCAGCAGUAGGGAAUCUUCGGCAAUGGACGAGAGUCUGACCGAGCAACGCCGCGUGAGUGAAGAAGGUUUUCGGGUCGUGAAGCUCUGUUGUAAGGGAAGAACGGGUGUGAGAGUGGAAAGUUCACACUGUGACGGUAUCUUACCAGAAAGGGACGGCUAACUACGUG
RNAcentral lists this ribosomal RNA (505 nucleotides) under uncultured bacterium. Its description in RNAcentral is "partial 16S ribosomal RNA". It matches the Rfam family "Bacterial small subunit ribosomal RNA", at positions 28 to 507 of the family's 1533-position model. The record is from RNAcentral.